Molecule: long non-coding RNA, 381 nt
Organism: Alligator sinensis (Chinese alligator)
Lineage: Eukaryota; Metazoa; Chordata; Crocodylia; Alligatoridae
Exons: 4
Source: RefSeq, a predicted model, not a curated record
CAAGAAGGAAGGAGCUUUUUGUCAUGGAAGAGAGGAGAAACUGGAUGCAGGAGCAGUGUCUGACACUGCUGCGAGAUGAAGAAUCCCUGGCUGGGAUUAUCUGAAUGAAGAUUCAGAGGUUGGGAUUUUCAGUAGUGCUUGAUGCUGUUUGAACUGUGCUCCUAUGGACAUCAACAGGAAUCUGUUAGCUUCAGUUGGACCAGACUAUGUCCAGUGCUGCAUCCAUGAUCCUGGAAGACCCACCCACCAGAAGGAUCACAAGGUGACAGAUAACAGUGUUUAUUUUUACCGGGCCUAAAAGCCACUUGGAAGGCCAAGAUCAUGCACAGACAAGUACAGGAAAACAAUUCUUUUGAUGAGAUUAUGAAAUCUAAGAACUAC